AACAAUCAAGCAGUUGGUGAACUCAGCGGUCACAGCCGCAGUGUCUCCAGUGCCUUUUUCUCCCUACUCGCAGGCAACAGGGUUCUGACCACUUGUAUGGACAACAAGAUCAGGGUAUUCAACACUUCCUAAAUGGAUGGCAGGACUCCUGUACUAAAAUCAAUUACGCACAACAUGCAGACAGGUCAGUGGUUGUCCAAGCUAAGUGCAGUGUGGGAUCCAAAACAGCAAGAAUGUUUUGUGAUUGGCAGUGUAGACAGGCUUCGUCGAAUUCAGGUACAUCACGAGAGCGGUCGCCGCCUACACACUUUUCAAAACAUGGACCACCUCACCACGGUGCGCUCCAUCACAGCAUUCCACCCAAGCAGGAACAUUCUGCUUGGAGGCAAUUCAAGUGGGAGGCUGCACAUAUUUACUGACUCUUUCAUCAUCUAGAAAAUAUAAAUUUCUUUACCUGUUUGUUGAUUUGAUUUGUGUUGGUUUUCUGCUUCCCUCUUUUUCCCCUUAUUGUA
Long non-coding RNA from Sinocyclocheilus grahami, 512 nucleotides. RefSeq lists it as uncharacterized. The record is from RefSeq and is a predicted model, not a curated record. The transcript is spliced from 3 exons. Lineage: Eukaryota; Metazoa; Chordata; Actinopteri; Cypriniformes; Cyprinidae.